Molecule: long non-coding RNA, 866 nt
Organism: Pleuronectes platessa (European plaice)
Lineage: Eukaryota; Metazoa; Chordata; Actinopteri; Pleuronectiformes; Pleuronectidae
Exons: 4
Source: RefSeq, a predicted model, not a curated record
GGACGUUUAGGAGGUGGAUUGAAUAAGUUGAUUUCUGAUCAGCAACUUCUCUGAACUAUUUCUGACUAGAGAGGACAACUUCAGUUUUUUUUCCUGUCAGCAAAAUCUGCUUGAAUCACAACACCCGAGCAGAAAGAACUUUGUGCUUAAGCUUGAAAAGGGCUCCACAAAUACAUGUGAUUCAUUCAGUGACCCAUCCUCAGUUCCCUGCUGACCUUUACAGCAGUGAAAUAUCUUGCCCAAGGACACUGCGACAUGCAGAUGGGGAAGAAUUGGAUUUGAACCGCCAACCUUCUUGUUGGAGGACGACCACUCUACCCCUAGGCCCGACGCCCCUAAUACGUAUCUUAUCUGGCACUAACCUUGUGCUUGUGGAGGCCAUAAGCCAGUACAGUCCCUGUACCGGCGAGCAGUCCUGCCAGGCCAUGUCUCCAGCUGGGACUGUGGGCGCGCCGGUACGACCUCUGGUCACCACUGCUGUUGCUCCGGAGACGGACCGCGCAUGAUGCCACAGCAGGGGCCACCGGAUGCCUGUGAAAAUAAAAACUACUGAAGGUCAUUUUUAUGCAGACCAAACUCAUUAGAUGGUGAAUAUGUGAUUAUUAAUAGAAGUUCAAAGAGAUUAGUGUGAUCACAAAAAAGAAAUACAAAACAUAAAAAGUGGAGGGAUAUUAAAGUCAGGCUAUAGUUAACAGCUGGAGUAUCCUUCAUCAUGUGUGUAUUUUGUUACAGUACUGUACCUUUGAAUGCUGACAGGCCCAAAUCGAGUCAGGCUGUGGCAGCGUCUGAGAAGCAGCAUUGCAUUGAUCUUCAGGAGUAGAGAAAAAACUGGUAAUUUCACUGUUGCAACAAAUAGCACAUUACAA